GUGGAUUAGAUACCCUGGUAGUCCACGCCCUAAACGAUGUCAACUAGGUGUUGGGUGGGUAAAACCAUUUAGUACCGUAGCUAACGCGAGAAGUUGACCGCCUGGGGAGUACGGCCGCAAGGUUAAAACUCAAAGGAAUUGACGGGGACCCGCACAAGCGGUGGAUGAUGUGGAUUAAUUCGAUGCAACGCGAAAAACCUUACCUACCCUUGACAUGUUCAGAAGUCCGAAGAGAUUUGGAUGUGCUCGAAAGAGAACUGGAACACAGGUGCUGCAUGGUCGUCGACAGCU
RNAcentral lists this ribosomal RNA (291 nucleotides) under uncultured bacterium. RNAcentral describes it as "partial 16S ribosomal RNA". It matches the Rfam family "Bacterial small subunit ribosomal RNA", at positions 773 to 1060 of the family's 1533-position model. The record is from RNAcentral.